AUGUGGGUGGAGGGGGAUCCUAGUCCUCACUGAGAUUUUUCUGCUUCCCUGCACUUUGCCUUCUUCUCUUCUCCUGCAUGGUGUGCCUUUGGUUCCCCCCAGGCUCCUGGACAGUGAUUCUGCCAGUGAUACUGAUGGUGCUGAGCCCGCUCCUGGCCUGGGCUGGAAGUAACCGAACGCUCUUCAUGGUGCAGGGCAAGUCCGAGUGUCACUUCGCCAACGGCACGGGGAACGUGCGCUUCCUGGACAGGUAUAUCUACAACCGCGAGGAGCAGGUGCGCUUCGACAGCCUUGUGGGCGAGUACCGCGCGCGGACCGAGAUGGGGCGGCCGGCGGCCGAGCGCUGGAACCGCUGGCCCGACGCCCUGCAGCGAGCCCGCGCCGCCGUGCGCACCUUCUGCGCCAGCAACUACCGGUUCUUUGCGAGCCUCACGGUGCAGAGGAGAGUGGAGCCCGCGGUGACCGUGUAUCCUGCGAAGACCCGGCCCCUGCGGCAGCACAACCUCCUGGUCUGCUCUGUGAACGGCUUCUACCCAGGCCACGUUGAGGUCAGGUGGUUCCGGAACGGCCGGGAAGAGGAGGCUGGGGUGGUCUCCACCGGCCUGAUCCCUAACGGAGACUGGACCUUCCAGAUCAUGGUGAUGCUUGAAGUAGUUCCUCAGGGUGGAGAGGUCUAUGCCUGCCACGUGGAGCACCCCAGCCUGACGAGCCCCGUCACAGUGGAAUGGAGGGCACAGGACGAAUCUUCACGAGAAAAGAUGCUGAGUGGAAUCGGGGCCUGUGUUCUGGGUCUCCUCUUCCUUGGAAUGGGGCUGCUCUUCUACGUCAGGAGGUAGAUAUACUCUUAAGUUCCCACUUCUGGGCAUACACACCGAGGAAACCAGAUCUGAAAGAGACACGUGCACCCCAAUGUUCAUCGAAGCACUCUUUAUAAUAGCCAGGACAUGGAAGCAACCUAGAUGUCCAUCAGCAGACGAAUGGAUAAGGAAGCUGUGGUACAUAUACACCAUGGAAUAUUACUCAGGCGUUAAAAAGAAUUCAUUUGAAUCAGUUCUAAUGAGAUGGAUGAAACUGGAGCCCAUUAUACAGAGUGAAGUCUCCUGAGCUGGAGCAGAGACCGUGACACUCGGACGAGAACCUUCUGUCCCAGCUUCUUCGCAGCUUGAAAAGGUUUCCUACUUCAGACCAUGGGCCCUUAUUUUAUUCCUUCUAGAGUUUUUAAUUGAAGAGAUGCCCCUCUGGUGGCUGCUGGCCUGGCAGUCUUUAUUUGUUAGUUUUAUUGAGAUAUAGUUGAUUUGCAGUGUUGCUUUCCCUUCCGCUACACGGCGCUCAUUCCUCACAACGAGAGUGCUUUCCCAGGAUCUUUGCUCUGGGUUGAAUGACUCUGCAGAAAAAGUCCUGGGUGUUUUCUUUGGCCCUACCCUGCACCCAGAAGUCCCCAGGAUUGAUCCCAGUGCCUUAUCUUCAUUCUUUCCUGGUCCUCUUUGUUUUCUACCCCUGCUGCCUCCUUCCAUCCACAUUUAUUUAUAUGUAUUUUUUGAAAUACAAGAGAGUGGAAUCUUCGUACAUGUUAAACAAGGCAUGGUGUGUGUUCAUGACAGCGUAAGUCAGUUUCAACUGCUCCCUGAUCUCAUUCCUCUAAUUAAGUUCCUUUAAGGUUGGAGAGGAACAGAAGUGGGCAAACAGGGAGGGAGCCAAAGAGCUACUUUCCAAAAGCAACAAAUCUGAGUAAGGUGAGACAUAGAAGCAGGAAAUUGCAACUCUGUAAUCAGAACAGGGUUUUCACAGUUUUCUCACAGCAUAAAGACUAAAGAGGGGAAAGGCAGAAAAAUAACUGUAGCUACUUCAACUUGGGAACAAACACAAGACCAAAGGGGCUCUUUCGAGACAACAAAAAUUAUGAAAAGGGAAGAGAAAAAGUACAGAAGUCAAAUAGGUAAAUGAAGAUAAGAUGCUAUCAGCAAGAAAAAAGACUAUUUUAUCUACGAUAUGUUUUAUACGAACUUCAUGGUAGCCACAAAACAUAAAUCUAGAGCAGAGAUAUGAAACAUUAAAAAAGAGGGAACUGAAGAAGACAUACUAUAAAGCCACCAGAUUAAAAUGGCAGAUAGACUCAGCCAUUUAAAAGAAUACAUUUGAAUCAGUUCUAAUGAGAUGGAUGAAACUGGAGCCCAUUAUAUAGAGUGAAGUAAGCCAGAAAGAUAAACACCAAUACAGUAUACUAACGCAUAUAUAUGGAAUUUUAAAAGAUGGUAAUUAUAACCCUAUAUGCAGGACAGAAAAAGAGACACAGAUGUAUAGAACAGACUUUUGGACUCUGUGGGAGAAGGCAAGGGUGGGAUGUUUCGAGAGAAUAGCAUCGAAACAUAUAUAUUACCAAGUGUGAAACAGAUCGCUAACCCAGGCUGGAUGCAUGAGACAAGUGCU
RNA transcript from Dama dama (fallow deer), 2427 nucleotides. It is a transcript of the gene named DLA class II histocompatibility antigen, DR-1 beta chain-like, with no coding region annotated. The transcript has 6 exons. NCBI's taxonomy places the organism in Eukaryota, Metazoa, Chordata, Mammalia, Artiodactyla, Cervidae. The record is from RefSeq and is a predicted model, not a curated record.